UUCAAAUAUCCUUGUAGUUUGUUUACAGCAGAGUUUCUCUUAAAGCGAGCGCUGAAGAGACAACAGGUGUCAUUGGUCAGCAGUUACAGGUGAUCUUCUUUCUCUUUAAAGUGAUAAAAGAAGUCUUGGGUAAACCAGUAUUAAGUCCAUGGACGGAAUAACCGCCCAGGAAUCAUUCCACAGACUGAACAGUCCUGGAAGACAGAGAAAGUCUCAAUAGGUUUCUCCUGAUUUCGCGCCCGCAGGUCCAGAGUGAAACCGGAAGCGGCAAAAUAAUGGCAAUGAGAUUACAUGGACAGCAAAUGAAGACUGAAAUACUGAAUUCUUCUCCCAAGAAACCAAGAAAAAAGUCAUUUCACAUGAAUUUUUGGAGUAAUAUCUGAGACCAAUUUGAUACUUGAAAGAAACAACUAAGCAC
Molecule: long non-coding RNA, 418 nt
Filed under: Carassius auratus (goldfish)
Lineage: Eukaryota; Metazoa; Chordata; Actinopteri; Cypriniformes; Cyprinidae
Description: lncRNA (ENSCARG00000070051.1)
Source: RNAcentral